Molecule: non-coding RNA, 46 nt
Organism: Emiliania huxleyi CCMP1516
Lineage: Eukaryota; Haptophyta; Isochrysidales; Noelaerhabdaceae
Source: Rfam
CCCUCGGUGUUUCUAAACACCACCCUCUCUUGAAGAAAGAUGGUAG